Molecule: long non-coding RNA, 209 nt
Filed under: Junco hyemalis (dark-eyed junco)
Lineage: Eukaryota; Metazoa; Chordata; Aves; Passeriformes; Passerellidae
Description: lncRNA (ENSJHYG00000012725.1)
Source: RNAcentral
CUCUUUCUGUCCUCUGGAAGUGAUGAAAAGAUCACAUGAUGAGUAGGCUCGGCGACCCAGGACCCUCGUAAGUCGGAGAAGGCAUCGGACACAUCCUUAAGCAAUCAUGUCUGUGAUCAUGCUGCUGAAAUAAGGAGAUUCUGAAAGACCAGCAGACUGAGAGACAGCUGAGAUGGAGCCAUGGCUAUUUGUCUCUAGGUAAGAUAUCC